Phrynosoma platyrhinos (Desert horned lizard) is the source of this 72-nucleotide non-coding RNA. The record is from the annotation of a GenBank genome assembly. NCBI's taxonomy places the organism in Eukaryota, Metazoa, Chordata, Lepidosauria, Squamata, Phrynosomatidae.
AGAGCUACAGCUCAGUGGUAGAACAUAUGCUUUGAGCACAUAUGACCCCAAGUUUGAUCCAUGGUGUUUCCA